CAGAGGGCGCGAGCGUUGUCCGGAAUCACUGGGCGUAAAGGGCGCGUAGGUGGCCAGCAUAAGGCCGCGGUGAAAGUCCGGAGCUCAACUCCGGAUCUGCCGCGGCGACUGUGCGGCUUGGGCACUGUAGAGGCAGAUGGAAUUCCGGGUGUAGCGGUGGAAUGCGUAGAAAUCCGGAAGAACACCGGUGGCGAAGGCGAUCUGCUGGGCAGUGGACCGCAAGGUCCAAUAGCCGACACUGAGGCGCGACAGCGUGGGGAGCAAACAGGAUUAGAUACCCUGGUAGUCCACGCCGUAAACGAUGGGCACUAGGUGCUCCGGGGAGCGACCCUUGGAGUACCGGCGCUAACGCAUGAAGUGCCCCGCCUGGGGAGUACGGCCGCAAGGCUG
RNAcentral lists this ribosomal RNA (390 nucleotides) under uncultured organism. RNAcentral describes it as "bacterial SSU rRNA". It matches the Rfam family "Bacterial small subunit ribosomal RNA", at positions 526 to 896 of the family's 1533-position model. The record is from RNAcentral.